GACGAACGCUGGCGGCGUGCCUAAUACAUGCAAGUAGAACGCUGAAGCUUGGUGCUUGCACCGAGCGGAUGAGUUGCGAACGGGUGAGUAACGCGUAGGUAACCUGCCCGGUAGCGGGGGAUAACUAUUGGAAACGAUAGCUAAUACCGCAUAAGAGUAGAUGUUGCAUGACAUUUGCUUAAAAGGUGCAAUUGCAUCACUACCAGAUGGACCUGCGUUGUAUUAGCUAGUUGGUGAGGUAACGGCUCACCAAGGCAACGAUACAUAGCCGACCUGAGAGGGUGAUCGGCCACACUGGGACUGAGACACGGCCCAGACUCCUACGGGAGGCAGCAGUAGGGAAUCUUCGGCAAUGGACGGAAGUCUGACCGAGCAACGCCGCGUGAGUGAAGAAGGUUUUCGGAUCGUAAAGCUCUGUUGUAAGAGAAGAACGAGUGUGAGAGUGGAAAGUUCACACUGUGACGGUAUCUUACCAGAAAGGGACGGCUAACUACGUG
RNAcentral lists this ribosomal RNA (497 nucleotides) under uncultured bacterium. RNAcentral describes it as "partial 16S ribosomal RNA". It matches the Rfam family "Bacterial small subunit ribosomal RNA", at positions 28 to 507 of the family's 1533-position model. The record is from RNAcentral.